GGGAAACUGCCCGAUGGAGGGGGAUAACUACUGGAAACGGUAGCUAAUACCGCAUAACGUCGCAAGACCAAAGUGGGGGACCUUCGGGCCUCACACCAUCGGAUGUGCCCAGAUGGGAUUAGCUAGUAGGUGGGGUAAUGGCUCACCUAGGCGACGAUCCCUAGCUGGUCUGAGAGGAUGACCAGCCACACUGGAACUGAGACACGGUCCAGACUCCUACGGGAGGCAGCAGUGGGGAAUAUUGCACAAUGGGCGCAAGCCUGAUGCAGCCAUGCCGCGUGUAUGAAGAAGGCCUUCGGGUUGUAAAGUACUUUCAGCGGGGAGGAAGGCGGUGAAGUUAAUAGCUUCACCGAUUGACGUUACCCGCAGAAGAAGCACCGGCUAACUCCGUGCCAGCAGCCGCGGUAAUACGGAGGGUGCAAGCGUUAAUCGGAAUUACUGGGCGUAAAGCGCACGCAGGCGGUCUGUCAAGUCGGAUGUGAAAUCCCCGGGCUUAACCUGGGAACUGCAUUCGAAACUGGCAGGCUGGAGUCUUGUAGAGGGGGGUAGAACUCCAGGU
This 559-nucleotide ribosomal RNA is filed under the name uncultured bacterium. Its description in RNAcentral is "bacterial SSU rRNA". It matches the Rfam family "Bacterial small subunit ribosomal RNA", at positions 120 to 674 of the family's 1533-position model. The record is from RNAcentral.